CGUGCCGGGUUCAGCCAGGUUUGCUCCGGAGAGCAGCAGUGCUAAUGGGCUAAGAAAAACCAGCCCUGUGUCUUCCUGGGAUGAGCCAAAGGCAGCAGCAGCCUCUUCCUCCAGCCCCGAGCCAGG
Non-coding RNA from Lonchura striata (white-rumped munia), 126 nucleotides. Lineage: Eukaryota; Metazoa; Chordata; Aves; Passeriformes; Estrildidae. The record is from RefSeq and is a predicted model, not a curated record.